AUGACUGUCACUAUCAGCUCUUUGAAGCAGAUGGAUGAUUACCUUGCAGGUGACCUGUUCCAGAGAGGGCCGUGCAGCUUGCUAAAAGGCAUGCUAGUGCUCUCUGACUAUGCAGUGAUUGGCAAUGUGAAGAUGUUGCUAGCUACCAGCACGAUCAAUGGGACAAUGGGAACAACUUCUUACGCUUACUAAUCAUUCACCUUCAUGCUGAAAUGGUAUAGAACCUUCUAGAAGUUUGGUUUCUGAUGACAUCAUUCACUGGAGAAACAAGCUCUACUAGAAGAUAUGAAGCAGCUGAAUGAAGAUGCAAAGUUGCUCUUUAUAAGUUAUAGAAAUGCCUGAUCCAGACAAAAACUGAUGCAGAAAUAAGGCCUGGGGAUACUUAACAAUGCCUUCCGGCUGAGUCUUGCUCCUUCCAAAACUCUAAUGGACAACUAUGAGGUCUCUGGAGGAAUGACAAGGGAAUUGGUAGAUGCCCUGAGACUUCAAGCAAUUGAAGUCAUCCAGAAAGCC
RNAcentral lists this long non-coding RNA (513 nucleotides) under Phascolarctos cinereus (koala). Its description in RNAcentral is "lncRNA (ENSPCIG00000036639.1)". The record is from RNAcentral. Lineage: Eukaryota; Metazoa; Chordata; Mammalia; Diprotodontia; Phascolarctidae.